Molecule: transfer RNA, 87 nt
Filed under: Bacteroidia bacterium
Lineage: Bacteria; Pseudomonadati; Bacteroidota; Bacteroidia
Description: tRNA-Ser
Rfam family: tRNA
About the family: Transfer RNA (tRNA) molecules are approximately 80 nucleotides in length. Their secondary structure includes four short double-helical elements and three loops (D, anti-codon, and T loops).
Source: RNAcentral
GGUGAGGUGGGUGAGUGGCUGAAACCACCAGUUUGCUAAACUGGCGUACGGGUAACCGUACCGGGGGUUCGAAUCCCCCUCUCACCG